RNAcentral lists this ribosomal RNA (406 nucleotides) under uncultured bacterium. RNAcentral's name for it is "partial 16S ribosomal RNA". It matches the Rfam family "Bacterial small subunit ribosomal RNA", at positions 30 to 526 of the family's 1533-position model. The record is from RNAcentral.
AUUGAACGCUAGCGGCAGGCCUAACACAUGCAAGUCGAACGAGUGGCGGACGGGUGAGUAAUGUCUGGGAAACUGCCUGAUGGAGGGGGAUAACUACUGGAAACGGUAGCUAAUACCGCAUACCAUCAGAUGUGCCCAGAUGGGUUUAGCUAGUAGGUGGGGUAAUGGCUCACCUAGGCGACGAUCCCUAGCUGGGCUGAGAGGAUGACCAGCCACACUGGAACUGAGACACGGUCCAGACUCCUACGGGAGGCAGCAGUGGGGAAUAUUGCACAAUGGUCGCAAGCCUGAUGCAGCCAGGCCGCGUGUGUGAAGAAGGCCUUCGGGUUGUAAAGCACUUUCAGCGAGGAGGCGUUACUCGCAGAAGAAGCACCGGCUAACUCCGUGCCAGCCGCCGCGGUAAUAC